RNAcentral lists this ribosomal RNA (253 nucleotides) under uncultured prokaryote. RNAcentral describes it as "partial 16S ribosomal RNA". It matches the Rfam family "Bacterial small subunit ribosomal RNA", at positions 524 to 776 of the family's 1533-position model. The record is from RNAcentral.
UACAGAGGGUGCAAGCGUUGUUCGGAAUUAUUGGGCGUAAAGGGCGCGUAGGCGGUUUCUUAAGUCGGAUGUGCAAUCCCCGGGCUCAACCUGGGAACUGCAUCCGAGACUGGGAGGCUAGAGUACUGGAGAGGGUGGUGGAAUUCCCCGUGUAGCGGUGAAAUGCGUAGAGAUGAGGAGGAACACCAGUGGCGAAGGCGGCCACCUGGACAGUAACUGACGCUGAGGCGCGAAAGCGUGGGUAGCAAACAGG